RNAcentral lists this ribosomal RNA (1540 nucleotides) under Salmonella enterica subsp. enterica serovar Dublin. Its description in RNAcentral is "bacterial SSU rRNA". It matches the Rfam family "Bacterial small subunit ribosomal RNA". Lineage: Bacteria; Pseudomonadati; Pseudomonadota; Gammaproteobacteria; Enterobacterales; Enterobacteriaceae. The record is from RNAcentral.
AAAUUGAAGAGUUUGAUCAUGGCUCAGAUUGAACGCUGGCGGCAGGCCUAACACAUGCAAGUCGAACGGUAACAGGAAGCAGCUUGCUGCUUUGCUGACGAGUGGCGGACGGGUGAGUAAUGUCUGGGAAACUGCCUGAUGGAGGGGGAUAACUACUGGAAACGGUGGCUAAUACCGCAUAACGUCGCAAGACCAAAGAGGGGGACCUUCGGGCCUCUUGCCAUCAGAUGUGCCCAGAUGGGAUUAGCUUGUUGGUGAGGUAACGGCUCACCAAGGCGACGAUCCCUAGCUGGUCUGAGAGGAUGACCAGCCACACUGGAACUGAGACACGGUCCAGACUCCUACGGGAGGCAGCAGUGGGGAAUAUUGCACAAUGGGCGCAAGCCUGAUGCAGCCAUGCCGCGUGUAUGAAGAAGGCCUUCGGGUUGUAAAGUACUUUCAGCGGGGAGGAAGGUGUUGUGGUUAAUAACCGCAGCAAUUGACGUUACCCGCAGAAGAAGCACCGGCUAACUCCGUGCCAGCAGCCGCGGUAAUACGGAGGGUGCAAGCGUUAAUCGGAAUUACUGGGCGUAAAGCGCACGCAGGCGGUCUGUCAAGUCGGAUGUGAAAUCCCCGGGCUCAACCUGGGAACUGCAUUCGAAACUGGCAGGCUUGAGUCUUGUAGAGGGGGUAGAAUUCCAGGUGUAGCGGUGAAAUGCGUAGAGAUCUGGAGGAAUACCGGUGGCGAAGGCGGCCCCCUGGACAAAGACUGACGCUCAGGUGCGAAAGCGUGGGGAGCAAACAGGAUUAGAUACCCUGGUAGUCCACGCCGUAAACGAUGUCUACUUGGAGGUUGUGCCCUUGAGGCGUGGCUUCCGGAGCUAACGCGUUAAGUAGACCGCCUGGGGAGUACGGCCGCAAGGUUAAAACUCAAAUGAAUUGACGGGGGCCCGCACAAGCGGUGGAGCAUGUGGUUUAAUUCGAUGCAACGCGAAGAACCUUACCUGGUCUUGACAUCCACAGAAGAAUCCAGAGAUGGAUUUGUGCCUUCGGGAACUGUGAGACAGGUGCUGCAUGGCUGUCGUCAGCUCGUGUUGUGAAAUGUUGGGUUAAGUCCCGCAACGAGCGCAACCCUUAUCCUUUGUUGCCAGCGAUUAGGUCGGGAACUCAAAGGAGACUGCCAGUGAUAAACUGGAGGAAGGUGGGGAUGACGUCAAGUCAUCAUGGCCCUUACGACCAGGGCUACACACGUGCUACAAUGGCGCAUACAAAGAGAAGCGACCUCGCGAGAGCAAGCGGACCUCAUAAAGUGCGUCGUAGUCCGGAUUGAGUCUGCAACUCGACUCCAUGAAGUCGGAAUCGCUAGUAAUCGUGGAUCAGAAUGCCACGGUGAAUACGUUCCCGGGCCUUGUACACACCGCCCGUCACACCAUGGGAGUGGGUUGCAAAAGAAGUAGGUAGCUUAACCUUCGGGAGGGCGCUUACCACUUUGUGAUUCAUGACUGGGGUGAAGUCGUAACAAGGUAACCGUAGGGGAACCUGCGGUUGGAUCACCUCCUUA